RNAcentral lists this ribosomal RNA (254 nucleotides) under uncultured Neisseria sp. Its description in RNAcentral is "partial 16S ribosomal RNA". It matches the Rfam family "Bacterial small subunit ribosomal RNA", at positions 99 to 354 of the family's 1533-position model. Lineage: Bacteria; Pseudomonadati; Pseudomonadota; Betaproteobacteria; Neisseriales; Neisseriaceae. The record is from RNAcentral.
CGAACGUGUGAGUAACAUAUCGGAACGUACCGGGUAGCGGGGGAUAACUGAUCGAAAGAUCAGCUAAUACCGCAUACGUCUUGAGAGGGAAAGCAGGGGACCUUCGGGCCUUGCGCUAUCCGAGCGGCCGAUAUCUGAUUAGCUGGUUGGCGGGGUAAAGGCCCACCAAGGCGACGAUCAGUAGCGGGUCUGAGAGGAUGAUCCGCCACACUGGGACUGAGACACGGCCCAGACUCCUACGGGAGGCAGCAGAU